This 400-nucleotide unclassified non-coding RNA is filed under the name soil metagenome. RNAcentral describes it as "partial contains 5.8S ribosomal RNA, internal transcribed spacer 2, and large subunit ribosomal RNA". The stretch from base 1 to 122 matches the Rfam family "5.8S ribosomal RNA", at positions 35 to 154 of the family's 154-position model. The record is from RNAcentral.
GAUGAAGAACGCAGCGAAAUGCGAUACUUGGUGUGAAUUGCAGAAUCCCGUGAACCAUCGAGUCUUUGAACGCAAGUUGCGCCUCAAGCCAUUAGGUUGAGGGCACGUCUGCCUGGGCGUCACAUAUCGUUGCCUGAUGCCAGUUUCCUCGUGAUGGGUGACUGUGCAGGGCGAAUGAUGGCUUCCCGUGAGCAUUGUUGCCUCAUGGUUGGUUGAAAAUUGAGUCCUUGGUAGGGAGCGCCGUCAUAGAUUGUGGUUGAGUGACGAACGAGACCCAAUCAUGUGAGACCCCUACCGAAUUUGGCCUUCAUGACCCACAUGCGUCUUUGGAACGCUCAUGACGAGACCUCAGGUCAGGCGGGGCUACCCGCUGAGUUUAAGCAUAUCAAUAAGCGGAGGA